CUUUUACAAUGAAGAGUUUGAUCCUGGCUCAGGAUGAACGCUAGCUACAGGCUUAACACAUGCAAGUCGAGGGGCAGCAUUUCAGUUUGCUAGCAAACUGGAGAUGGCGACCGGCGCACGGGUGAGUAACACGUAUCCAACCUGCCGAUAACUCGGGGAUAGCCUUUCGAAAGAAAGAUUAAUACCCGAUGGCAUAAUUAGACCGCAUGGUCUUAUUAUUAAAGAAUUUCGGUUAUCGAUGGGGAUGCGUUCCAUUAGGCAGUUGGUGAGGUAACGGCUCACCAAACCUUCG
This 292-nucleotide ribosomal RNA is filed under the name Bacteroides thetaiotaomicron. RNAcentral's name for it is "partial 16S ribosomal RNA". It matches the Rfam family "Bacterial small subunit ribosomal RNA", at positions 1 to 278 of the family's 1533-position model. Lineage: Bacteria; Pseudomonadati; Bacteroidota; Bacteroidia; Bacteroidales; Bacteroidaceae. The record is from RNAcentral.